AGUGAACGCUGGCGGUAGGCCUAACACAUGCAAGUCGAACGGCAGCACAGUAAGAGCUUGCUCUUACGGGUGGCGAGUGGCGGACGGGUGAGGAAUACAUCGGAAUCUACUUUUUCGUGGGGGAUAAUGUAGGGAAACUUACGCUAAUACCGCAUACGACCUACGGGUGAAAGCAGGGGAUCUUCGGACCUUGCGCGAUUGAAUGAGCCGAUGUCGGAUUAGCUAGUUGGCGGGGUAAAGGCCCACCAAGGCGACGAUCCGUAGCUGGUCUGAGAGGAUGAUCGGCCACACUGGAACUGAGACACGGUCCAGACUCCUACGGGAGGCGGCAGUGGGGAAUAUUGGACAAUGGGCGCAAGCCUGAUCCAGCCGUACCGCGUGGGUGAAGAAGGCCUUCGGGUUGUAAAGCCGUUUUGUUGGGAGAGAAAAGCAUCAGGUUAAUACCCCGCGGGUCUGACGGUACCCAAAGAAUAAGCACCGGCUAACUUCGUG
RNAcentral lists this ribosomal RNA (492 nucleotides) under uncultured bacterium. RNAcentral describes it as "partial 16S ribosomal RNA". It matches the Rfam family "Bacterial small subunit ribosomal RNA", at positions 29 to 507 of the family's 1533-position model. The record is from RNAcentral.